Molecule: long non-coding RNA, 706 nt
Filed under: Zonotrichia albicollis (white-throated sparrow)
Lineage: Eukaryota; Metazoa; Chordata; Aves; Passeriformes; Passerellidae
Description: lncRNA (ENSZALG00000015223.1)
Source: RNAcentral
UUGAUUUCAAACACUCCAUUUUUCUAACAUAUUUAUAUGUAAUUUCAGAAUGUGGACUUCAUUCCCCAGUCUUACUCUGAAGAAAAAAGAGCUACAAAGAGUAAUGACCCAUGAAUUCUGGAGAGAAACACAGUUGUUUCAUGUUUCCUUACAUUAUUCAGAAACAUUUUGCAUCUUCACCUUCUAAACUGGUUGAAAAGGCAUUGUCCAGCCAUCUGAGAAGGCAGGAGUGACUGCUUAUGCCACUGAUUUGUAAGAAUAAGGGAAGCUGAACAGACACAUGGAGAUGGAUGGGUGAAGUGAAGUAGAAUAUUACUGAAUAAUCUUCAACCUUGAAUGUGGAAAAUGAGAUACAGGAUGCCUAAUGUUUCAUUGACAUCCAUGAAAAGAGACAUGAAAACAUCCAAACCUCUCUCAGUGGAAGAAAGUUAAGGGGACCACAUGGAAAACCACAGCUCCAGUGAGAAGGGUGACCCUGGCAGGACAACAGGGAUCCCAUCCAUGCACCUCUCCUUGUGUGGCCACAUGGAGAGGCUGUGCCUGUUGCAUCACGAAGAAAAUCACGUUUGAGGCUGAUCCCUUUGAACUGCUGAAACCUGAUGACUUGCAAUCAAUAGGCUGUGAAACAAUAAGGUCAGCAGUGCGAAGAUUCCGAUUUUCUGCCUCUAAACGCAGACUCAUGUGCUGGAACACUGAGUGUGGCUGA